UGGCGGACGGGUGAGUAACGCGUGGAAAACCUGCCGUAUACUGGGGGAUAACACUUAGAAAUAGGUGCUAAUACCGCAUAAGCGCACAGCUUCGCAUGAAGCGGUGUGAAAAACUCUGGUGGUAUACGAUGGUUCCGCGUCUGAUUAGCUAGUUAGUGGGGUAAUGGCCUACCAAGGCAACGAUCAGUAGCCGGCCUGAGAGGGUGGACGGCCACAUUGGGACUGAGACACGGCCCAAACUCCUACGGAAGGCAGCAG
Molecule: ribosomal RNA, 258 nt
Filed under: uncultured bacterium
Lineage: Bacteria
Description: partial 16S ribosomal RNA
Rfam family: Bacterial small subunit ribosomal RNA
Source: RNAcentral